This 506-nucleotide ribosomal RNA is filed under the name Morganella morganii. RNAcentral's name for it is "partial 23S ribosomal RNA". It matches the Rfam family "Bacterial large subunit ribosomal RNA", at positions 2266 to 2771 of the family's 2925-position model. The record is from RNAcentral. Lineage: Bacteria; Pseudomonadati; Pseudomonadota; Gammaproteobacteria; Enterobacterales; Morganellaceae.
UAGUUUGACUGGGGCGGUCUCCUCCCAAAGAGUAACGGAGGAGCACGAAGGUUGGCUAAGCAUGGUCGGACAUCAUGCGGUUAGUGCAAAGGCAUAAGCCAGCUUGACUGCGAGAGUGACGGCUCGAGCAGGUACGAAAGUAGGUCUUAGUGAUCCGGUGGUUCUGAAUGGAAGGGCCAUCGCUCAACGGAUAAAAGGUACUCCGGGGAUAACAGGCUGAUACCGCCCAAGAGUUCAUAUCGACGGCGGUGUUUGGCACCUCGAUGUCGGCUCAUCACAUCCUGGGGCUGAAGUAGGUCCCAAGGGUAUGGCUGUUCGCCAUUUAAAGUGGUACGCGAGCUGGGUUUAGAACGUCGUGAGACAGUUCGGUCCCUAUCUGCCGUGGGCGCUGGAAGAUUGAGAGGGGUUGCUCCUAGUACGAGAGGACCGGAGUGAACGCACCACUGGUGUACGGGUUGUGAUGCCAAUUGCAUUGCCCGGUAGCUAAGUGCGGAAGAGAUAACCGC